This 734-nucleotide long non-coding RNA is filed under the name Homo sapiens (human). RNAcentral describes it as "non-protein coding lnc-SORCS1-4:3". Lineage: Eukaryota; Metazoa; Chordata; Mammalia; Primates; Hominidae. The record is from RNAcentral.
UAAAGAGUGCCAGGCAACGGCCAAUGGCUUCUACAAUCCCUUUCAUCCUGGACAGUCCAGUGUUGUGAUACCCUGACACCAAGACCCUUCCUUGGUUGUCUGGCACAGUGCUGCCACAUACCAUCUCAGGAACUUUCAUUUAUUUCCCUUUGUGUCCAAACAUCAGAAAGGCUUUCUGAGUUGCUUGCCAAGGUGUUCUUCAGCCUUCCCUAGGCUAAACUUCUCCAUUGGAUCAAUAGCAGGUGGUCAACAAAGACAAAAACACCAUCUUCAGAAUGACUCAGAUCAUCCUCUUGGGCAGCCCUUUUUGGAUAUCUCUAUGAAAUUCUGCAGCUGAAAGCUGACACGCAUAAUUAUUUCCUGUUAGAUACUGAAGAAAAAAAAAAGCCCAGGAGAUAUUGUCGAGACUGUUUCUGGGGUGUGAUUGGGGGAUAGGAGAUGAAUGGUGUCAGAAUUGGAACAUGAAGUAGAACUUCCAGUAACCCCUAGGAGCAUCAAGUGACCCAGAGAGGUAACCCCCUCCACCAGGGUCCAUUGCAUCCAUUGCUCUCUCACAGCAACUGAGGCUCAUGGGACUGGAGUGGAGUCGGUAGGAAGGAACAGUCUUUGAAGUUAGAUGCGCCAGGUUGUAACCCCACUUCCACCAAUUGAGAGAAAACCCAAACUGCCCAAGAUGAGGAAGUUAGUGAGAAAGUGGUACCUAAAGCCAUGAUACCAACGAGCUCUAUGCUUCU